Non-coding RNA from Paramuricea clavata, 219 nucleotides. NCBI's taxonomy places the organism in Eukaryota, Metazoa, Cnidaria, Anthozoa, Malacalcyonacea, Plexauridae. The record is from the annotation of a GenBank genome assembly.
CGACUCUCGACUUUUACUCUCGACUCUCGACCUUUACUCUCGACUCUCGACCCUCGACUUUUAGAUACACUCGAUUGCAUGUUCGAUCCAAAAAAACUAUUAUUGGACGCUGACCGAAUAUUGAGAAUUAUCCGGUGCUUUCUGACCAACCAGGGACGAGAAUACAUACUAAAUGAAUAAUAAUUAAAAUUAUUUUGAAUUGGAACACCAACAUGGCGG